Molecule: transfer RNA, 73 nt
Filed under: Prochlorococcus marinus str. SB
Lineage: Bacteria; Bacillati; Cyanobacteriota; Cyanophyceae; Synechococcales; Prochlorococcaceae
Description: tRNA-Ala
Rfam family: tRNA
About the family: Transfer RNA (tRNA) molecules are approximately 80 nucleotides in length. Their secondary structure includes four short double-helical elements and three loops (D, anti-codon, and T loops).
Source: RNAcentral
GGGGCCAUAGCUCAGUUGGUAGAGCACCUGCAUGGCAUGCAGGGUGUCAGCGGUUCGAGUCCGCUUGGCUCCA